Molecule: microRNA precursor, 84 nt
Filed under: Bombyx mori (domestic silkworm)
Lineage: Eukaryota; Metazoa; Arthropoda; Insecta; Lepidoptera; Bombycidae
Description: mir-2807 microRNA precursor family
Rfam family: mir-2807 microRNA precursor family
Source: Rfam by way of RNAcentral
UUAACUCAAAUUUGUAUGCAGUUGGAACAGCGCCCUUAGCGGCAAACUUAGGCAAACGUUCCAACUUCAUACAAAUUUUAGUUA